GAUUAAGUUAUUAAGGGCGCACGGUGGAUGCCUUGGCACUAGAAGCCGAUGAAGGACGUUACUAACGACGAUAUGCUUUGGGGAGCUGUAAGUAAGCUUUGAUCCAGAGAUUUCCGAAUGGGGAAACCCAGCAUGAGUUAUGUCAUGUUAUCAAUAUGUGAAUACAUAGCAUAUCAGAAGGCACACCCGGAGAACUGAAACAUCUUAGUACCCGGAGGAAGAGAAAGAAAAUUCGAUUCCCUUAGUAGCGGCGAGCGAAACGGGAAGAGCCCAAACCAACAAGCUUGCUUGUUGGGGUUGUAGGACACUCUAUACGGAGUUACAAAGGACGACAUUAGACGAAUCAUCUGGAAAGAUGAAUCAAAGAAGGUAAUAAUCCUGUAGUCGAAAAUGUUGUCUCUCUUGAGUGGAUCCUGAGUACGACGGAGCACGUGAAAUUCCGUCGGAAUCUGGGAGGACCAUCUCCUAAGGCUAAAUACUCUCUAGUGACCGAUAGUGAACCAGUACCGUGAGGGAAAGGUGAAAAGCACCCCGGAAGGGGAGUGAAAUAGAACCUGAAACCGUGUGCUUACAAGUAGUCAGAGCCCGUUAAUGGGUGAUGGCGUGCCUUUUGUAGAAUGAACCGGCGAGUUACGAUUUGAUGCAAGGUUAAGCAGUAAAUGUGGAGCCGUAGCGAAAGCGAGUCUGAAUAGGGCGUUUAGUAUUUGGUCGUAGACCCGAAACCAGGUGAUCUACCCUUGGUCAGGUUGAAGUUCAGGUAACACUGAAUGGAGGACCGAACCGACUUACGUUGAAAAGUGAGCGGAUGAACUGAGGGUAGCGGAGAAAUUCCAAUCGAACCUGGAGAUAGCUGGUUCUCUCCGAAAUAGCUUUAGGGCUAGCCUCAAGUGAUGAUUAUUGGAGGUAGAGCACUGUUUGGACGAGGGGCCCCUCUCGGGUUACCGAAUUCAGACAAACUCCGAAUGCCAAUUAAUUUAACUUGGGAGUCAGAACAUGGGUGAUAAGGUCCGUGUUCGAAAGGGAAACAGCCCAGACCACCAGCUAAGGUCCCAAAAUAUAUGUUAAGUGGAAAAGGAUGUGGCGUUGCCCAGACAACUAGGAUGUUGGCUUAGAAGCAGCCAUCAUUUAAAGAGUGCGUAAUAGCUCACUAGUCGAGUGACACUGCGCCGAAAAUGUACCGGGGCUAAACAUAUUACCGAAGCUGUGGAUUGUCCUUUGGACAAUGGUAGGAGAGCGUUCUAAGGGCGUUGAAGCAUGAUCGUAAGGACAUGUGGAGCGCUUAGAAGUGAGAAUGCCGGUGUGAGUAGCGAAAGACGGGUGAGAAUCCCGUCCACCGAUUGACUAAGGUUUCCAGAGGAAGGCUCGUCCGCUCUGGGUUAGUCGGGUCCUAAGCUGAGGCCGACAGGCGUAGGCGAUGGAUAACAGGUUGAUAUUCCUGUACCACCUAUAAUCGUUUUAAUCGAUGGGGGGACGCAGUAGGAUAGGCGAAGCGUGCGAUUGGAUUGCACGUCUAAGCAGUAAGGCUGAGUAUUAGGCAAAUCCGGUACUCGUUAAGGCUGAGCUGUGAUGGGGAGAAGACAUUGAGUCUUCGAGUCGUUGAUUUCACACUGCCGAGAAAAGCCUCUAGAUAGAAAAUAGGUGCCCGUACCGCAAACCGACACAGGUAGUCAAGAUGAGAAUUCUAAGGUGAGCGAGCGAACUCUCGUUAAGGAACUCGGCAAAAUGACCCCGUAACUUCGGGAGAAGGGGUGCUCUUUAGGGUUAACGCCCAGAAGAGCCGCAGUGAAUAGGCCCAAGCGACUGUUUAUCAAAAACACAGGUCUCUGCUAAACCGUAAGGUGAUGUAUAGGGGCUGACGCCUGCCCGGUGCUGGAAGGUUAAGAGGAGUGGUUAGCUUCUGCGAAGCUACGAAUCGAAGCCCCAGUAAACGGCGGCCGUAACUAUAACGGUCCUAAGGUAGCGAAAUUCCUUGUCGGGUAAGUUCCGACCCGCACGAAAGGCGUAACGAUUUGGGCACUGUCUCAACGAGAGACUCGGUGAAAUCAUAGUACCUGUGAAGAUGCAGGUUACCCGCGACAGGACGGAAAGACCCCGUGGAGCUUUACUGUAGCCUGAUAUUGAAAUUCGGCACAGCUUGUACAGGAUAGGUAGGAGCCUUUGAAACGUGAGCGCUAGCUUACGUGGAGGCGCUGGUGGGAUACUACCCUAGCUGUGUUGGCUUUCUAACCCGCACCACUUAUCGUGGUGGGAGACAGUGUCAGGCGGGCAGUUUGACUGGGGCGGUCGCCUCCUAAAAGGUAACGGAGGCGCUCAAAGGUUCCCUCAGAAUGGUUGGAAAUCAUUCAUAGAGUGUAAAGGCAUAAGGGAGCUUGACUGCGAGACCUACAAGUCGAGCAGGGUCGAAAGACGGACUUAGUGAUCCGGUGGUUCCGCAUGGAAGGGCCAUCGCUCAACGGAUAAAAGCUACCCCGGGGAUAACAGGCUUAUCUCCCCCAAGAGUUCACAUCGACGGGGAGGUUUGGCACCUCGAUGUCGGCUCAUCGCAUCCUGGGGCUGUAGUCGGUCCCAAGGGUUGGGCUGUUCGCCCAUUAAAGCGGUACGCGAGCUGGGUUCAGAACGUCGUGAGACAGUUCGGUCCCUAUCCGUCGUGGGCGUAGGAAAUUUGAGAGGAGCUGUCCUUAGUACGAGAGGACCGGGAUGGACAUACCUCUGGUGUACCAGUUGUCGUGCCAACGGCAUAGCUGGGUAGCUAUGUGUGGACGGGAUAAGUGCUGAAAGCAUCUAAGCAUGAAGCCCCCCUCAAGAUGAGAUUUCCCAACUUCGGUUAUAAGAUCCCUCAAAGAUGAUGAGGUUAAUAGGUUCGAGGUGGAAGCAUGGUGACAUGUGGAGCUGACGAAUACUAAUCGAUCGAAGACUUAAUCAA
RNAcentral lists this ribosomal RNA (2923 nucleotides) under Staphylococcus aureus. Its description in RNAcentral is "23S ribosomal RNA". It matches the Rfam family "Bacterial large subunit ribosomal RNA". The record is from RNAcentral. Lineage: Bacteria; Bacillati; Bacillota; Bacilli; Caryophanales; Staphylococcaceae.